This 926-nucleotide long non-coding RNA is filed under the name Eurytemora carolleeae. RNAcentral's name for it is "uncharacterized LOC111716259". Lineage: Eukaryota; Metazoa; Arthropoda; Copepoda; Calanoida; Temoridae. The record is from RNAcentral.
UCUGUUCAAUCUGUAUUAUCUGGGAGACAAGUUUGAGCUGUGUGGAGCCAGGAACCUGAUCAAGGAAGUUGUCUCCAGCUUCAAGAUCAACCAGGAGAACUGGCUUGAUGUACUCAAGGGGGUCAAGAAAUACGAGGAUAAUUACCUGUUCGAAGAUCUCUGUAACAUACUUCAGGAUAAAAUUCAAGACUACCUGAAGGGUGUGACCUCUUCUGAUCAAUAUUUGGAGAGUAUUCAAGAAUCUGAAAUCAGAAAUGGAACAGAUCAGACACAGGAGCUGUUGUUUACAAGCUGGAAGCAUCUGACAUCUGGUUUGUGAUUGUUAGAACUUUGAUUAGUGGAUCAGUGUGUUGCUCUACAUCAUGCAUUACAAAAAAGAAAAAAACAAUUUUAGAUAUUUUCAUAAUAGAGUUAUGAAAGAUAAAACGGUCAGAUGUGCUCUUAUGGGGAUAUCAGUUAAAAAUGCUUACAACAAUAACUUCACAACGACCAUGAACAAUGAACGUGCUCUUGUGUUGGCAUUAAAAAUAUAAAAAGCAUAACCAUCUUUGAUCACUAUCUCAUCUUAAACAUCUCAGGGAGUGUUUCUGAAAUAUAAAGAGUAUAUUGACAAACUAAAUUAAGGUUAUAUUUUAAAAUACAAUAAAGUAAUUAAGUUCUUGCCAAAAACUCUAACUUUAUAAUCCAUAUAUAUCUUUGUAACCAGCUACGGAACAUGAACUGUUUAUUGUCAACUAUGCGAGAACGAAGAAAUACAGAAAAUCUGAUAUUCCUUAUAGGCAGAGAAAAUUAAACUCCCUUGAUAUAACCUUAUCUUAUUUUGUGAUAAAACCCAUGAUGUAUUCAAUUAUAUUCUUAUAGAAUUUUAACCAUAUUAUAAUAUUUAUUAUGAUCUUGAUUUAUCUUGAAUAAAUCUUACUUUACUA